GACGAACGCUGGCGGCGUGCUUAACACAUGCAAGUCGAACGGAAAGGCCCUGCUUUUGUGGGGUGCUCGAGUGGCGAACGGGUGAGUAACACGUGAGUAACCUGCCCUUGACUUUGGGAUAACUUCAGGAAACUGGGGCUAAUACCGGAUAGGAGCUCCUGCUGCAUGGUGGGGGUUGGAAAGUUUCGGCGGUUGGGGAUGGACUCGCGGCGUAUCAGCUUGUUGGUGGGGUAGUGGCUUACCAAGGCUUUGACGGGUAGCCGGCCUGAGAGGGUGACCGGCCACAUUGGGACUGAGAUCCGGCCCAGCCUCCUACGGGAGGCAGCAGUGGGGAAUAUUGCACAAUGGGCGGAAGCCUGCUGCAGCAGCGCCGCGUGCGGGAUGACGGCCUUCGGGUUGUAAACCGCUUUCGCCUGUGACGAAGCGUGAGUGACGGUAAUGGGUAAAGAAGCACCGGCUAACUACGUG
This 468-nucleotide ribosomal RNA is filed under the name uncultured bacterium. RNAcentral's name for it is "partial 16S ribosomal RNA". It matches the Rfam family "Bacterial small subunit ribosomal RNA", at positions 28 to 507 of the family's 1533-position model. The record is from RNAcentral.